Molecule: ribosomal RNA, 253 nt
Filed under: uncultured bacterium
Lineage: Bacteria
Description: partial 16S ribosomal RNA
Rfam family: Bacterial small subunit ribosomal RNA
Source: RNAcentral
UACGGGGGGGGCAAGCGUUGUUCGGAAUUAUUGGGCGUAAAGGGCGCGUAGGCGGUGCGGUAAGUCACCUGUGAAAUCUCCUGGCUCAACUGGGAGCUUGCAGGCGAAACUGCCGUGCUGGAGUGUGGGAGAGGUGCGUGGAAUUCCUGGUGUAGCGGUGAAAUGCGUAGAUAUCAGGAGGAACACCUGUGGCGAAAGCGGCGCACUGGACCACAACUGACGCUGAGGCGCGAAAGCUAGGGGAGCAAACAGG